This 270-nucleotide ribosomal RNA is filed under the name uncultured bacterium. RNAcentral's name for it is "partial 16S ribosomal RNA". It matches the Rfam family "Bacterial small subunit ribosomal RNA", at positions 534 to 793 of the family's 1533-position model. The record is from RNAcentral.
GCGAGCGUUAAUCGGAAUUACUGGGCGUAAAGACGCAUGCAGGUGGUUUGUUUAAGUUCAGAUGUGAAAGACCCGGGGCGUCAACCUCGGAAUAGCAUUUGAAACUGGCAGACUAGAGUACUGUAGAGGGGGGUAGGAAGUUUCAGGUGUAGCGGUGAAAUGCGUAGAGAUCUGAAGGAAUACCGGUGGCGAAGGCGGCCCCCCUCGGACAGAUACUGACACUCAGAUGCGAAAGCGUGGGGAGCAAACAGGAUUAGAUACCCCUGGUAG